Molecule: ribosomal RNA, 269 nt
Filed under: uncultured Planctomycetales bacterium
Lineage: Bacteria; Pseudomonadati; Planctomycetota; Planctomycetia; Planctomycetales
Description: partial 16S ribosomal RNA
Rfam family: Bacterial small subunit ribosomal RNA
Source: RNAcentral
GAGCACGUAGGUGGGUUUGUAAGUCAGAUGUGAAAGCCUUCUGUUCAACGGAAGAAUUGCAUCUGAAACUGCGAGUCUUGAGUGUAGGAGGGGAGAAUGGAACUUCUGGUGGAGCGGUGAAAUGCGUAGAUAUCAGAAGGAACGCCGGCGGCGAAAGCGAUUCUCUGGCCUAUUACUGACACUCAGUGUGCGAAAGCUAGGGGAGCAAACGGGAUUAGAUACCCCGGUAGUCCUAGCCGUAAUCGAUGGGCACUAAGUAGAGGGGUUUU